Molecule: ribosomal RNA, 2902 nt
Filed under: Enterobacter hormaechei
Lineage: Bacteria; Pseudomonadati; Pseudomonadota; Gammaproteobacteria; Enterobacterales; Enterobacteriaceae
Description: 23S ribosomal RNA
Rfam family: Bacterial large subunit ribosomal RNA
Source: RNAcentral
UUAAGCGACUAAGCGUACACGGUGGAUGCCCUGGCAGUCAGAGGCGAUGAAGGACGUGCUAAUCUGCGAAAAGCGCCGGCGAGGUGAUAUGAACCCUUGACCCGGCGAUGUCCGAAUGGGGAAACCCAGUGCAAUCCGUUGCACUAUCGUUAACUGAAUACAUAGGUUAACGAGGCGAACCGGGGGAACUGAAACAUCUAAGUACCCCGAGGAAAAGAAAUCAACCGAGAUUCCCCCAGUAGCGGCGAGCGAACGGGGAGCAGCCCGGAGUCUGAAUCAGCUUGUGUGUUAGUGGAACGGUCUGGAAAGUCCGACGGUACAGGGUGAUAGUCCCGUACACGAAAGCACACUUGCUGUGAACUCGAAGAGUAGGGCGGGACACGUGGUAUCCUGUCUGAAUAUGGGGGGACCAUCCUCCAAGGCUAAAUACUCCUGACUGACCGAUAGUGAACCAGUACCGUGAGGGAAAGGCGAAAAGAACCCCGGCGAGGGGAGUGAAAAAGAACCUGAAACCGUGUACGUACAAGCAGUGGGAGCCUCUUUAUGGGGUGACUGCGUACCUUUUGUAUAAUGGGUCAGCGACUUAUAUUCUGUAGCAAGGUUAACCGUAUAGGGGAGCCGAAGGGAAACCGAGUCUUAACUGGGCGUUAAGUUGCAGGGUAUAGACCCGAAACCCGGUGAUCUAGCCAUGGGCAGGUUGAAGGUUGGGUAACACUAACUGGAGGACCGAACCGACUAAUGUUGAAAAAUUAGCGGAUGACCUGUGGCUGGGGGUGAAAGGCCAAUCAAACCGGGAGAUAGCUGGUUCUCCCCGAAAGCUAUUUAGGUAGCGCCUCGUGAACUCAUCUUCGGGGGUAGAGCACUGUUUCGGCUAGGGGGCCAUCCCGGCUUACCAACCCGAUGCAAACUACGAAUACCGAAGAAUGUUAUCACGGGAGACACACGGCGGGUGCUAACGUCCGUCGUGAAGAGGGAAACAACCCAGACCGCCAGCUAAGGUCCCAAAGUCAUGGUUAAGUGGGAAACGAUGUGGGAAGGCACAGACAGCCAGGAUGUUGGCUUAGAAGCAGCCAUCAUUUAAAGAAAGCGUAAUAGCUCACUGGUCGAGUCGGCCUGCGCGGAAGAUGUAACGGGGCUAAACCAUGCACCGAAGCUGCGGCAGCGACACUAUGUGUUGUUGGGUAGGGGAGCGUUCUGUAAGCCGUUGAAGGUGUGCUGUGAGGCAUGCUGGAGGUAUCAGAAGUGCGAAUGCUGACAUAAGUAACGAUAAAGCGGGUGAAAAGCCCGCUCGCCGGAAGACCAAGGGUUCCUGUCCAACGUUAAUCGGGGCAGGGUGAGUCGACCCCUAAGGCGAGGCCGAAAGGCGUAGUCGAUGGGAAACAGGUUAAUAUUCCUGUACUUGGUGUUACUGCGAAGGGGGGACGGAGAAGGCUAUGUCAGCCGGGCGACGGUUGUCCCGGUUUAAGCAUGUAGGCGGAGGUUCCAGGUAAAUCCGGUACCUUAUUAACGCUGAGGUGUGAUGACGAGGCACUACGGUGCUGAAGUGAUAAAUGCCCUGCUUCCAGGAAAAGCCUCUAAGCAUCAGGUAACACGAAAUCGUACCCCAAACCGACACAGGUGGUCAGGUAGAGAAUACCAAGGCGCUUGAGAGAACUCGGGUGAAGGAACUAGGCAAAAUGGUGCCGUAACUUCGGGAGAAGGCACGCUGAUGUGUAGGUGAAGCCCCUGCGGGCGGAGCUGAAAUCAGUCGAAGAUACCAGCUGGCUGCAACUGUUUAUUAAAAACACAGCACUGUGCAAACACGAAAGUGGACGUAUACGGUGUGACGCCUGCCCGGUGCCGGAAGGUUAAUUGAUGGGGUUAGCGGCAACGCGAAGCUCUUGAUCGAAGCCCCGGUAAACGGCGGCCGUAACUAUAACGGUCCUAAGGUAGCGAAAUUCCUUGUCGGGUAAGUUCCGACCUGCACGAAUGGCGUAAUGAUGGCCAGGCUGUCUCCACCCGAGACUCAGUGAAAUUGAACUCGCUGUGAAGAUGCAGUGUACCCGCGGCAAGACGGAAAGACCCCGUGAACCUUUACUAUAGCUUGACACUGAACACUGGUCCUUGAUGUGUAGGAUAGGUGGGAGGCUUUGAAGCGUGGACGCCAGUCUGCGUGGAGCCAACCUUGAAAUACCACCCUUUAAUGGCUGGUGUUCUAACGUAGACCCGUAAUCCGGGUUGCGGACAGUGUCUGGUGGGUAGUUUGACUGGGGCGGUCUCCUCCCAAAGAGUAACGGAGGAGCACGAAGGUUGGCUAAUCCUGGUCGGACAUCAGGAGGUUAGUGCAAUGGCAUAAGCCAGCUUGACUGCGAGCGUGACGGCGCGAGCAGGUGCGAAAGCAGGUCAUAGUGAUCCGGUGGUUCUGAAUGGAAGGGCCAUCGCUCAACGGAUAAAAGGUACUCCGGGGAUAACAGGCUGAUACCGCCCAAGAGUUCAUAUCGACGGCGGUGUUUGGCACCUCGAUGUCGGCUCAUCACAUCCUGGGGCUGAAGUAGGUCCCAAGGGUAUGGCUGUUCGCCAUUUAAAGUGGUACGCGAGCUGGGUUUAGAACGUCGUGAGACAGUUCGGUCCCUAUCUGCCGUGGGCGCUGGAGAAUUGAGGGGGGCUGCUCCUAGUACGAGAGGACCGGAGUGGACGCAUCACUGGUGUUCGGGUUGUCAUGCCAAUGGCACUGCCCGGUAGCUAAAUGCGGAAGAGAUAAGUGCUGAAAGCAUCUAAGCACGAAACUUGCCCCGAGAUGAGUUCUCCCUGAGACUUUAAGUCUCCUGAAGGAACGUUGAAGACGACGACGUUGAUAGGUCGGGUGUGUAAGCGCAGCGAUGCGUUGAGCUAACCGAUACUAAUGAACCGUGAGGCUUAACCU